GAUGAACGCUGGCGGCGUGCCUAAUACAUGCAAGUCGAGCGAACGGACGAGAAGCUUGCUUCUCUGAUGUUAGCGGCGGACGGGUGAGUAACACGUGGAUAACCUACCUAUAAGACUGGGAUAACUUCGGGAAACCGGAGCUAAUACCGGAUGAUAUUUUGAACCGCAUGGUUCAAAAGUGAAAGACGGUCUUGCUGUCACUUAUAGAUGGAUCCGCGCUGCAUUAGCUAGUUGGUAAGGUAACGGCUUACCAAGGCAACGAUGCAUAGCCGACCUGAGAGGGUGAACGGCCACACUGGAACUGAGACACGGUCCAGACUCCUACGGGAGGCAGCAGUAGGGAAUCUUCCGCAAUGGGCGAAAGCCUGACGGAGCAACGCCGCGUGAGUGAUGAAGGUCUUCGGAUCGUAAAACUCUGUCAUUAGGGAAGAACAUAUGUGUAAGUAACUGUGCACAUCUUGACGGUACCUAAUCAGAAAGCCACGGCUAACUACGUG
This 497-nucleotide ribosomal RNA is filed under the name uncultured bacterium. RNAcentral describes it as "partial 16S ribosomal RNA". It matches the Rfam family "Bacterial small subunit ribosomal RNA", at positions 28 to 507 of the family's 1533-position model. The record is from RNAcentral.